Molecule: ribosomal RNA, 519 nt
Filed under: uncultured eukaryote
Lineage: Eukaryota
Description: partial 18S ribosomal RNA
Rfam family: Eukaryotic small subunit ribosomal RNA
Source: RNAcentral
AGGGCACCACCAGGAGUGGAGCCUGCGGCUUAAUUUGACUCAACACGGGAAAACUCACCCGGCCCGGACACUGGAAGGAUUGACAGAUUGAGAGCUCUUUCUUGAUUCAGUGGGUGGUGGUGCAUGGCCGUUUCUUAGUUGGGUGGAGCGAUUUUGUCUGGGUUAAUUCCGAAUAACGAACGAGAACUCUAGCCUUUUUAAAUAGACUGGGGGGGUCCGUAAGGCCCCCCCCCAGGACUUUCCUAAAAGGGAACAGGGGGGCGAAGUAAACCCGCCCCGAGAAGAGAAGCCAAUAACCCGGGCCUGGGGAUGGCCCCUUAAAAUGUCCGGGGGCCCCCACGCCGCGCUUAAACCCGAAAGGGAAACCACGGGGGCUUUUUUUUUCCCCCCCCCCUGGGGGGGGAGGGGAGAAAACCCCAAGGAAAACCUUUUUUUUUUGAAAAGGGGAUUUGGGGGUUUUGAAAAUUUUUUCCCCCCGAAAAAGGGGAAAAUUCCCCCAUAAAAGCCCGGGAUCAUUAG